UCCUCCGUGGCGCAAUUGGCUAGCGCGUUCGACUGUUAGCAACAGAGAAAUCGAGAGGUUGGUGGUUCGAGCCCACCCGGGGGAG
This 85-nucleotide transfer RNA is filed under the name Delitschia confertaspora ATCC 74209. Its description in RNAcentral is "tRNA-Asn". Lineage: Eukaryota; Fungi; Ascomycota; Dothideomycetes; Pleosporales; Delitschiaceae. The record is from RNAcentral.